ACAUGACCCCAUGCCGAACUCAGAAGUGAAACGCCGUAGCGCCGAUGGUAGUGUGGGGUCUCCCCAUGCGAGAGUAGGGAACUGCCAGGC
RNAcentral lists this ribosomal RNA (90 nucleotides) under Salmonella enterica subsp. enterica serovar Enteritidis. Lineage: Bacteria; Pseudomonadati; Pseudomonadota; Gammaproteobacteria; Enterobacterales; Enterobacteriaceae. The record is from RNAcentral.